Non-coding RNA from Prunus avium (sweet cherry), 1145 nucleotides. The record is from RefSeq and is a predicted model, not a curated record. Lineage: Eukaryota; Viridiplantae; Streptophyta; Magnoliopsida; Rosales; Rosaceae.
UUCUCUCCCUGGGAAAGAAAACCCUAGGCUUGGAGUUUUAGCCGCCACCCCCCUUUGGGGGAGGGUGACCUCCUUUUGCUCUCCCCCUCCCCUCUCACCCUCCCCUCUCCUCUCGCCCCUCUCUCCUCCCUUUUCUUUGUUUCACACCAUCUUCUUCCCUCCCUCCCUGACUUUUCUUCUUCACCCCUUUUCUUUUGCUGUGACCUUGGCCCUUUCUUUUCUUUUUGCAGGGAGUGUGUGGUUGGGUGUGGGUGGCUCCCUUGUUUCUGCUCCUAUUUUGGAUCUCCUGUGUCCGGAGAUUUUAGUUUUGUUUCAGGCUGGAAUAGCUCUGGAAUUCGCUUCUAUCUGUGAUUUGGUGGCAAACGAGUGACCAAGCGUGCUGUGCGAUCCUCUUCAGCCUUUUGUGCUGCUUGUCUUCAUCCCGUUUGGGGUGAUCGAUCAAGAUUCUCUUCAAGUUUUUACUUGUAAGAGCCUGGUUCUUCUGGUUGUUCCUACAGCUGUCUGCACGGUGGUGGCUCAGUUUUUGGUGCUCCUGUCUAGAUCUACUCAGAUCUAUUCAUCCCCGGGGGCUGCCCUUCGGCCUGGUCGUUGUGGGUGAUCUCUGCUCUACCUGGAGCUGCUUGAGCUUGCUGUGCGGAUCUUUGGCUUUGCAAUUUUCUUGUUGUUUUUUAUGCUUCAACUCAUUUUGAGUGUGUUGCUUGUUGCUGUCUCUUACUUGUAUUUUACUAGUGAGGGUUUAAGUUACUUUGCUUUUGUAGUUUGGGUGCCUAGGCGUCUGGUUUUCGGCGUUUAGUGUUCUAUGCCGGAUUUUUCCUGGCUUGCGGUCUUUUUACCGAUCGUUCUCUGGCCUUCUGUGGCCAUGAUUGGAGUUCCCGAAGUUACCGGUGUCCUCCCCCUUUGGACGACUGUCCACACUAGUUCUCUCUGGCCUCCUGUGGCCAUGACUGGAGGUCCCAAUGUUACCGGUGUCCUCCCCCUCUGGACUACUGUCCACCUUUGUAUCAACCCUAAAUGGGUAUCGGUCUCUGUUAUUGCUAUGGCCCUUUCGGCUCUUGUACUGUUCUUUACGGCCUCUGUACUGGCCUUUUUGGCUAACGGCCUCUGUGCCUGAUCAAUGAAUGCAAUAUAUCGCUAAGUUUCAAAAA